Long non-coding RNA from Brassica napus (rape), 1121 nucleotides. RefSeq lists it as uncharacterized. The record is from RefSeq and is a predicted model, not a curated record. The transcript is spliced from 2 exons. NCBI's taxonomy places the organism in Eukaryota, Viridiplantae, Streptophyta, Magnoliopsida, Brassicales, Brassicaceae.
GACGAAUUGGAUGGAGGAAAUUUUAUUUUGAAUAGAAAAUAUGCCUGCAGUUUUAAAAUGUUUCUGGAAAAGCAUGCAUGGUUUAAGAUGCUUUAGCGCCGUAUUGAAUAUUUGGGUGUGGUUGAUUUUUUUCAUGAUGAGGCCCUGUUGAUUUGUAAUUGGUCUGCCCAGUUGUUUAUUCCAUUGGAUUGCAUAAAAACGAAAAAUAUUAUAUGCUUUGCACUAAAAUUCUCAAAUUAAUCUAUUUUAAUAUGAGAGCCGAACGUCAUCCAACGUUUUUUGUUUGACAAACCAUCCAAAUUUUAUUCCAAAGUUAUGGGACCAUUAGUUAUAAAUGUGAAUUAUUAGUUUAUCUUCUUCACAUUAAACAUUGUUAUUCAUUUUGGGAUAUUCCGUAAGUAACUUGCCACCAAGAGCAUUUUUGUAUUCUUUUGGUGUGUGCAUAUUUGUGGUAUUAUGAUUAUAUGUUGACAAUUAAUUUCAGUAUUGUAAUAUGUAUAAAUAAUAAAUAAAUAACUGUAUAUAUACGAUAUGCUAAUGAGAUGUACGCGUGAAAUAGUGAAUCUUUUUUAAAGGGGCAGAAUUUUUAUUUGAUUACCAAAAGCAAAAGAUGACUUUGAAAAAUCAAGUAGUAAGUCGGCAUCUUGAUAGAUAGAUAACAAUUCACGUGGUAAUAAAAUGGAACAAUCUUUAUCAAUAAUUAAUGAGAGAGAUUUUGAGUUAUGUAUCCCGUUCUCUCUCUUCCUUCGGCUAUAAAAAGGCCCGGCAGGUCUCAGUUUCUUCCCACAUCCAAAGAUAGAAAGAUGUAAGGUCUAGAGUCUUGCCUUAAUUCCCUAAUAAAACAUAUAACAUAUUAGAGUAGCUAGAUUUAUCGGUUGAAUUGCUUGUUUUGGACAAGCUAAUGACUUUCAUGAGUCAAGUCACAUGCGCAUAGUAUAUCAAAGUUGGUCUUAUACUAAGGCUUAUAACUAGGUGCGGCCAAUCAACUAGGGCAUACACUCAAAUAUUACACAAAGAGAGAUAGGACUACAGAAAGUUUGAGAACUUGUAUGCCGGAACAAACGAUCCGGACUGAGUUGCAAAAAUUAACGGCAUCAAAGUUGUACUUCAUUUCUCAUAAA